UGGUUCAGUGGUAGAAUGCUUGCCUUCCAAGCUGGCGGCCCGGGUUCGAUUCCCGC
Molecule: transfer RNA, 56 nt
Filed under: Stegodyphus mimosarum
Lineage: Eukaryota; Metazoa; Arthropoda; Arachnida; Araneae; Eresidae
Rfam family: tRNA
About the family: Transfer RNA (tRNA) molecules are approximately 80 nucleotides in length. Their secondary structure includes four short double-helical elements and three loops (D, anti-codon, and T loops).
Source: Rfam by way of RNAcentral